This 73-nucleotide transfer RNA is filed under the name Acinetobacter baumannii. Its description in RNAcentral is "tRNA-Gly". It matches the Rfam family "tRNA". Rfam says of the family: Transfer RNA (tRNA) molecules are approximately 80 nucleotides in length. Their secondary structure includes four short double-helical elements and three loops (D, anti-codon, and T loops). Further hydrogen bonds mediate the characteristic L-shaped molecular structure. tRNAs have two regions of fundamental functional importance: the anti-codon, which is responsible for specific mRNA codon recognition, and the 3' end, to which the tRNAs corresponding amino acid is attached (by aminoacyl-tRNA synthetases). tRNAs cope with the degeneracy of the genetic code in two manners: having more than one tRNA (with a specific anti-codon) for a particular amino acid; and 'wobble' base-pairing, i.e. permitting non-standard base-pairing at the 3rd anti-codon position. Lineage: Bacteria; Pseudomonadati; Pseudomonadota; Gammaproteobacteria; Moraxellales; Moraxellaceae. RNAcentral also lists the same sequence under 1 other name. The record is from RNAcentral.
GGAAUAGCUCAGUUGGUAGAGCAUAACCUUGCCAAGGUUGGGGUCGCGAGUUCGAGUCUCGUUUCCCGCUCCA